Molecule: ribosomal RNA, 292 nt
Filed under: Lomis hirta
Lineage: Eukaryota; Metazoa; Arthropoda; Malacostraca; Decapoda; Lomidae
Description: partial 12S small subunit ribosomal RNA
Source: RNAcentral
UAUUUUAGCCUAGUUAGAGGAACCUGUUUUAUAAUCGACAAACCACGUUAAUUUUACUUGCUUUAAAUAGCCUGUAUACCGUCAUUAUUAGAUAACUUUUAAAGAAAUAGUUAUUAUAAUUAAACUCAAAUUAAAUAUAUUAGAUCAAGGCGCAGCUAAUAUGCAAGUAAAAAUGGGUUACAAUAAAACUUAUUUACCACGAAAUGUUAUAAGAAAAAUAACAUAAAGGAGGAUUUAAUUGUAAUUAUCUAUAAAAAGAUAUUUUGAUAUCAGCUCUAAAAUAUGUACAUAU